GGUUAAGUUAGUAAGGGCGCACGGUGGAUGCCUUGGCACUAGGAGCCGAAGAAGGACGUGACAAACGACGAAAUGCCUUGGGGAGCUGUAAGUAAGCGUAGAUCCAGGGAUGUCCGAAUGGGGGAACCCAACAGGUACUACCUGUUACCCAUAUCUGUUAAGGAUAUGAGGAGGAAGACGCAGUGAACUGAAACAUCUAAGUAGCUGCAGGAAGAGAAAGCAAAAGCGAUUGCCUAAGUAGCGGCGAGCGAAAGGGCAGGAGGGCAAACCGAAGAGUUUACUCUUCGGGGUUGUAGGACUGCGAAGUGGACGUAAAGAUUAUAGAAGAAGACCUUGGGAAAGGUUGCCAGAGAGAGUAAGAGCCUCGUAUUUAAAAUAGUCUUUAUACCUAGCAGGAUCCUGAGUACGGCGAGACACGUGGAAUCUCGUCGGAAUCUGGGAGGACCAUCUCCCAACCCUAAAUACUCCCUAGUGACCGAUAGUGAACCAGUACCGUGAGGGAAAGGUGAAAAGCACCCCGGGAGGGGAGUGAAAGAGAACCUGAAACCGUGUGCCUACAACAAGUUCGAGCCCGUUAAUGGGUGAGAGCGUGCCUUUUGUAGAAUGAACCGGCGAGUUACGUUAUGAUGCGAGGUUAAGUUGAAGAGACGGAGCCGUAGGGA
Molecule: ribosomal RNA, 662 nt
Filed under: Streptococcus sp. SN3
Lineage: Bacteria; Bacillati; Bacillota; Bacilli; Lactobacillales; Streptococcaceae
Description: partial 23S ribosomal RNA
Rfam family: Bacterial large subunit ribosomal RNA
Source: RNAcentral